UAACAAGGAUUCCCCUAGUAACUGCGAGUGAAGCGGGAAAAGCUCAAAUUUAAAAUCUGGUAGCCUUUGGUUGCCCGAGUUGUAGUCUGGAGAAGCGUCUUCCGCGCUGGACCGUGUACAAGUCUCUUGGAACAGAGCGUCAUAGAGGGUGAGAAUCCCGUCUUUGACACGGACUACCAGUGCUUUGUGAUGCGCUCUCAAAGAGUCGAGUUGUUUGGGAAUGCAGCUCAAAAUGGGUGGUAAAUUCCAUCUAAAGCUAAAUAUUGGCGAGAGACCGAUAGCGAACAAGUACCGUGAGGGAAAGAUGAAAAGCACUUUGGAAAGAGAGUUAAACAGUACGUGAAAUUGCUGAAAGGGAAACGCUUGAAGUCAGUCGCGUCGUCCAGAACUCAACCUGGCUUUCGCUUGGUGCACUUUCUGGUUGACGGGCCAACAUCAGUUUUGACUGUCGGAAAAAGUCCUUUGGAAUGUGGCACCUUCGGGUGUGUUAUAGCCUUUGGUCGUACGCGAUGGUUGGGACUGAGGACCGCAGCACGCCUUUUGGCCGGGGUUCGCCCACGUACGUGCUUAGGAUGUUGGCGU
This 582-nucleotide ribosomal RNA is filed under the name Phlebiella sp. 2 KUC8389. RNAcentral's name for it is "eukaryotic LSU rRNA". It matches the Rfam family "Eukaryotic large subunit ribosomal RNA", at positions 66 to 632 of the family's 3401-position model. Lineage: Eukaryota; Fungi; Basidiomycota; Agaricomycetes; Xenasmatellaceae. The record is from RNAcentral.